AACGCAAAUUGCGCCCAAGGUUUAGGCCGAGGGCAUGCCUGGCUCAGCGUCGUCACACCCCCUCGCCUCCCCUCCGGCCCUGCCUCCCCGAUCACAAGGGGGGAGCAGGCCAGCAGAGCGGUGGCGGAUGUGGCCGUGUCGCUCCCCUCCAGCGUGAGCGGCUCGGCCGAAGAACAGACUCUCCCCUGGAUCCCCGGACGUGGGACGGCAGAUUGGUAGGCAACCCCUCUCGGCUGCAUGCCUGCUGACGGCCCACGGCCCCGGGCACGGUCCCAGGACUCACAAAGGAGAGGCGCCUCGCAGGAAAAAUCGACACUCAGUCUUCGACCUGAGCUCAGGCAAGAGCACCCGCUGAACUUAA
Molecule: unclassified non-coding RNA, 361 nt
Filed under: uncultured fungus
Lineage: Eukaryota; Fungi
Description: partial contains ITS1, 5.8S rRNA and ITS2
Source: RNAcentral